Molecule: ribosomal RNA, 253 nt
Filed under: uncultured bacterium
Lineage: Bacteria
Description: partial 16S ribosomal RNA
Rfam family: Bacterial small subunit ribosomal RNA
Source: RNAcentral
UACGGGGGGGGCAAGCGUUGUUCGGAAUUACUGGGCGUAAAGGGCUCGUAGGUGGCCAACUAAGUCAGACGUGAAAUCCCUCAGCUUAACUGGGGAACUGCGUCUGAUACUGGAUGGCUUGAGUUUGGGAGAGGGAUGCGGAAUUCCAGGUGUAGCGGUGAAAUGCGCAGAUAUCAGGAAGAACACCUAUGGCGAAGGCAGCUCUCUGGGACGGUACUGACGCUGAGACGCGAAAGCGUGGGGAGCGAACAGG